ACGCUCGACACCUACGGGACAGCAGUGGGGAAUAUUGCACAAUGGGGGAAACCCUGAUGCAGCGACGCCGCGUGAAGGAAGAAGUAUCUCGGUAUGUAAACUUCUAUCAGCAGGGAAGAAAAUGACGGUACCUGACUAAGAAGCCCCGGCUAACUACGUGCCAGCAGCCGCGGUAAUCUGAGCGGGCUGGCAAGGC
Molecule: ribosomal RNA, 196 nt
Filed under: uncultured bacterium
Lineage: Bacteria
Description: partial 16S ribosomal RNA
Rfam family: Bacterial small subunit ribosomal RNA
Source: RNAcentral